Molecule: long non-coding RNA, 641 nt
Organism: Octopus bimaculoides (California two-spot octopus)
Lineage: Eukaryota; Metazoa; Mollusca; Cephalopoda; Octopoda; Octopodidae
Source: RefSeq, a predicted model, not a curated record
AUAGAUAGAUAGAUAGAUAGAUAGAUAGAUAGAUAGCAAUUAUGCAGCACAUUCUCAGCAUCAUUGUUGAUAUGAAUAUCUGAUUGUGUUUAUAAGGAUGCUUCUGUAACAUAUCCCUGUUUCUAUUUAUACCAGUUUUAAAAACCCCGUAUAGUGUAUGCUCUGAUUCUUUCGUCUUCUUACUAGCUGCUCGAUAACGUACAGUUGAUAGAGAUGAAUACAAUACAGUAAAAUAGUAGAACGAGGUUAAUAUUAUUGAUAAAAUCUUCAAAGUUGCUUCCUUAGCUCAGCCAGUGUUCAAUAAUUGAAACAAGUGCAAGAAUAUAAGAAUAUAAACCAAUAUAACAUUAUACACACAGACACACAUACGCACAAGGACACACAAAUAUACAAAUAGUAUGAUGUAAACAGAAUUUAUAAUUCAGAAAUGUAUACCUUGAGACUAAGUUUAUUUCUGAAUUUCGACAAUUCUCAAUUCUGUCCACUUUUGUUUCUUUCACUCUGCUUUUAAAGAAUAUACGAGAAAUAAAUAGAAAGAAACAUUAAUGUUUAACUGAACAGAGAAUUUGAAGUGAAGAAAAGUUGGCAUCGAAUUUUGUCAGAGAAACCUAUUCAAGAUUUUCUUCUGUGAUUGAACACUG